GACGAACGCUGGCGGCGUGCUUAACACAUGCAAGUCGAACGGAAAGGCCCUGCUUGCAGGGUGCUCGAGUGGCGAACGGGUGAGUAACACGUGGGUGAUCUGCCCCUUACUUUGGGAUAAGCCUGGGAAACUGGGUCUAAUACUGGAUAGGACCAUGCUGUAGGUGGUGUGGUGGAAAGAUUUUUUCGGUAAGGGAUGAGCUCGCGGCCUAUCAGCUUGUUGGUGGGGUAAUGGCCUACCAAGGCGUCGACGGGUAGCCGGCCUGAGAGGGUGGACGGCCACAUUGGGACUGAGAUACGGCCCAGACUCCUACGGGAGGCAGCAGUGGGGAAUAGUGCACAAUGGGCGCAAGCCUGAUGCAGCGACGCCGCGUGGGGGAUGACGGCCUUCGGGUUGUAAACUCCUUUCAGCCAUGACGAAGCCUCUUUUGGGGUGACGGUAGUGGUAGAAGAAGCACCGGCUAACUACGUG
Molecule: ribosomal RNA, 471 nt
Filed under: uncultured bacterium
Lineage: Bacteria
Description: partial 16S ribosomal RNA
Rfam family: Bacterial small subunit ribosomal RNA
Source: RNAcentral